Long non-coding RNA from Capra hircus (goat), 3627 nucleotides. RefSeq lists it as uncharacterized. The record is from RefSeq and is a predicted model, not a curated record. Lineage: Eukaryota; Metazoa; Chordata; Mammalia; Artiodactyla; Bovidae. The transcript has 6 exons.
CCUGCCACGUCCCUGGUUCCUGCCUGUGUCCGUGGCCACACCGGCCCACUCUCUCAGUGCUCCGUAUUCAGGCCCUGGAAGCUGGCUGGAGGAGUGCUGUUGAAGAGGUGCCCUGGAGUAGUGGGUGUGGGGCUAGGCUGGGCCAGGCAGACACCAGGGAGUGUGCUGGCCACUGCCCAAGGUGCUGCCCCGUGUUGGGCUCAGGGGGAGCUUGGCCACUCCCUCCUGCCAGGCCCUAGCUCAUCCCCAGGAGUCCUUCUGGGUCAUCUCUGGGACCUCAGUUAGAACCUGUGCCCUCUGUAUCCUGCUCAAACUAAACCAGGACUUUCUCAGGGGCUCCAUGGGCACAAAUUAAAGGGAAGAACGUAUCUAGGCAUCCUUUCUGUCUGGGCUGAGCAAGAGGUGGCUGGCAGAGCCCUGUCUCCUGCCCCAGAUCCUCCCCCAAACCUCCCUCACCAUUUCUGAAACCAGCUCCUCUGGACCGCUAAAGUCAGCAUUCUCCCUGUUGCAGUGAUGGAGGGGUCAUGGACCUGUCAAGGUCACCCAGUGGACCAGGGACGGGAUUGAGGUUUCUCAGUGAGCCCCCUGGAGUCUCUAAUUGAACAAGCCAGUCCGCUGCUCCUGCCACUACCGGGAGGCUGCCCGACCUGACUUCUCCACUGCCGGCCUGAGGACUGAGGCACCUUCUCAUGGGCCGGGUGGGGGUAGGGAGGCCCUGAGGAUCAGGUUAAUGGAGCAGAAGCUUGAAACCGGAGCACGGUGAAGAGCCUGUGAAAUAGCUUUGUCAGCUGCCUCCCACUCGCCACUUUCCAAUUUUAGCUCCCCAUGGCCGGUGCCGGGUGUCCCCAGUGAGGCCUGUGUGAGCACGGCCAGUGCUGGCCCCCAGCCUGGGACCUCUCCUGAUAGACCCCCGGACCUGGGCCCGCCUGUGGACAAAGGAGUGCCCCCUGCCUACCGACCUGCCUGCCUCAGGUCUCCCACCCUCACCCCGGCCCUGCAUGGAGAGGCCCUGGAAGAUGGGGCACCACAUGGAGAGAGAGGCGAAGUACAGGAGAGAGGAGGUGCCCCUACCGAGCUAGCUGAACGGAGCAUGUGAGUGAUCCCGCUGGCAUCAUGUGACGCAGAAUUACCUAGGCUGCCCACAGAACGGCCUGAGUCUCGCCUGGAACUUCUUCCCACCACAGCCUGCAGAGACACGGAGAACAGUGCCGUGCUCAUCCUACAUCUUUCUUACUGAUGGUUGGUGGCGCCAGUGGAAGGAGGAAUGUUCAAGAACCCCCAACGGGAGGUCUGGCCACCGUCAACAGCGGGACAGUUGGUGUGAGCCCCGAACAGCCUGGCACGUCCCCUAAGCCCCGGCCACUCUGAGGAAGCUCGCCGUGUGUGCCCAUUUGUCUGGUUGCGGAUCCGCAGCAGAUUUUUCUCCUGGGCCGACAGCUUCCUUGGGUCGGGAUAGACAGACAGCUCACUGGCUGUUUCUUCGGACCGGCUCCGGGUCUGUCCCAGCUGUUUCUCAAGCUCUCGAACCUGAAGGUGGUUCCACAACAGGUGCGGAGACUGAGACACAGAGAUGAAGAGUUUUGUUCAAAGACACCAAACAUGUAGACCAAUGACUGAGGCCAGACUCAAACUCAGGUCUCUGGAAGCUCAAGGCCACACACUGGUUGUUAAUUACAGUUUUUUGGAGACCUCUUCAUUUGGCUUCAAGGAUCCCACAGGAGACCCUGAGGGUAAAAGCCACUGGAGAAGCUGGGGUGAAGGCGAACCUGCACGUGGCAAACAGUGGAAGUGGCCCACCUAACUGUGUGUCUGUUAGUUGCUUGGCCCAGCUAUCCUCAGACAGCGUUUCCUCCAUGCCAGGCACUGUGGUAAGCAAUUUACACAUGUGCACGCAAUCAGUCCCCCCACAACCUGAAGGGUAGAUGCUGUCAUUAUCCACAGUACAAAGAGGAGGAAACUGAGACACAGAGAUGAAGCAGCUUGUCUGAGGCCACACAGUUGGUGAGUGGAGAGCUGAUAUUUGCUGUUUUUAAAAAUAUAUAUAUUUAUGUAUUUGGCCGCACUAGGUCUCAGUUGGGGCACAUGUUAGUUGUGGGAUGUGGGAUCCAGUUCCCCGAUCAAGGAUCGAACCCAGGGCCCCUGCAUUGGGAGCAUGAAGUCUUAGUCACUGGACCACCAGGGAAGUCCCAGAGAGCUAAGAUUUGAAUCCAAGCAGUCUGGCUGCAGAGCCCCUACUCGCAGCCUCUUUGUUGCUGCUCAGUCACUCAGUCGUGUCCAGUUCUUUGCGACCCCAUGGACUGCAGUAUGCCAGGCUUCUCUGUCUUUCACCAUCUCCCAGAAAUGCUCCAAAAUAUUUAGAACAUAAAAACGGAGACAGGCUAAGAUUUUUUUGGUGGAGGGUGGGGUGGAUAAUUGAAACUUUCAAAAGCCUGCAAGCAUUUGGACAAAACUGGAAAAAGCCUACAAUAGUCAUGCAAAUUUACAUGAACUAGGGGGAAAAAAAUCUGCCUGGAGUGAAAUAAAUCAAAGGCUCUGGCAUUUGUUGAGCGCCAGCGCCUGGCAUGUAGUGUUCCAUAAAUGCUUGUUCGUUAAACAACGAAUGAAAAUCAGGCUGCUUGGGGGGAAUGUGAAACAACAGCCCUGUGAGUGCGCUCCACAGAACCUAAAGGCCUUUUUUGGGUUCUGUGUCUCUUAAUGUGGGCCAUCAUGGGUCUUUCUAGGGCAUCUCAAGCCUUACGUUCAGGGCCAGGAGGAGUCUGAUGACUCACUCACCUUGCUCUGCAGGACGAGGAUCUGUUGAGCCCGACCCCUCCAGGUCCCAGGCGAGGACAGGAGCUGCUGGAUGUUCACAUCUUCCCCAACCUCACUAGUCAAAACCUGAAAAAGGUGGGGCCUUCAGUAUGACCCAAACCACAGUAUGUGCAGAAAUAGUGCUGCGUGCCUGGCAUUCCCAGAAGACCCGGCCUCCACCUGCACAACCACCCCCGUCUCCCCCCUCCCCACCUCAAAGGUCAGUUGACCACGCUGUAGAGCAGCUCUCCCUGGGAAAGCAGUAAACCCACCUUCCCCAGCACUUCCCAGUGAUGCUCAGAGCAGACAAGGAACUGGUGACAGUGCCCAGGCGGGGCCGCCUGCUCCUGACAUAUUCUGGAAUGAGUGAAUCACAAAGUUGACCAAGACCUGCUUCCUAAAUCUGUUCACCUGUCACCCUGAACUGAGAUUGUUUUGGAGGUUACAGGGACGGCCUCACCACAGGGCCUUGCCCUAUGUGCAGAGCAACAGACAAGGGGCCAUGUCUGAGUGCAGCAAGGCAGGGGCCUACCAAAUGUCACUUGGGGAUAUUUGCUUCCAGAAGGGCCCAGAUUUGUGGUUGUUACAGGGAGAUGUUCAGGCUCGACCUCAAGGCUUUGAGGUAGAAACAGUACACCCCAGCUUGUGCCCUGGGCCCCUCUGUAGCCUGUCACGGAAACUGAUCUAGCGUACCAAGUCUCUGGUGCUUGUUUCCACAAUAGAGCUCUGUUUUGGAAAUCUUGGCUGGUCUGAGUGGUUCCAGCAGGGAAGACAAAUGCCAGAGAAUUCACUAUGUAAAUAAAAAUAAAUAAUGAACCAGCUGGGCCUGCCUCCCAA